Non-coding RNA from Oscillibacter sp. 57_20, 125 nucleotides. The record is from Rfam. NCBI's taxonomy places the organism in Bacteria, Bacillati, Bacillota, Clostridia, Eubacteriales, Oscillospiraceae.
CUUUGUCUUCAGGGCGGGGUGUGAUUCCCCACUGGCGGUAAAGUCCGCGACCGGAUACUUCGGUAUUCGCUGACUCGGUGAAACUCCGGGACCAACAGUUACAGUCUGGAUGGAAGAAGAUGAGU